This 71-nucleotide transfer RNA is filed under the name Bos taurus (domestic cattle). It matches the Rfam family "tRNA". From Rfam's summary of the family: Transfer RNA (tRNA) molecules are approximately 80 nucleotides in length. Their secondary structure includes four short double-helical elements and three loops (D, anti-codon, and T loops). Lineage: Eukaryota; Metazoa; Chordata; Mammalia; Artiodactyla; Bovidae. The record is from Rfam by way of RNAcentral. RNAcentral also lists the same sequence under 2 other names.
UCCCUGGUGGUUAGACAGUAAAGCAUCUGCCUGCAAUGCAGGAAACCUGGGUUCAAUCCCUGGGUUGGGAA